Molecule: non-coding RNA, 119 nt
Organism: Picea glauca (white spruce)
Lineage: Eukaryota; Viridiplantae; Streptophyta; Pinopsida; Pinales; Pinaceae
Source: Rfam
GGGUGUGAUCAUAUCAGUGUUAAGGCACCGGAUCCCAUCAGAACUCUAUAGUUAAGCGCGCUUGGGCUAGAGUAGUACUGGGAUGGGUGACCUCCCUGGAAGUCCCAGUGUUGCACCUG